AUCCCUAUGAGAGGAAAUGGCUUUUAAUCAUUUACUCUUUAUGCAUUUUGUGUAAAUAUUAUUUCAUCUAAAAAUCAUACUACGCAGGGUUAUUGGAAAAUGUAAGCGGACCGUGAAAAACAGAUCCCAAAUUGAGGGAUCGAUAUGUGAGGCUUAUUUGGCUAAAGAAACCUCUUAUUUUUGUUCAUAUUAUUUUGAACAUGAUGUGCCAUGCUUGAGAAAUCGACCUAAUCGACAUAAUGAUUGAGGCAAUACCGACCCCUCGGCACCACCCUUUUCAAUAUUCAAUCAACCAGGUAAAGGGGGUCCAAAACAUAGUCCAAAGCGGUCUUUGACUGAGAUAGAGCUUAAGUCAGCUACAACACAUGUAUUAUUAAAUUUCCCCGAGGUCCUACCUUUUUAUAAGUGAGUAUAUAUUUAUAUUAGCGACUUAUAUACAAGAUUCAUCUUGGCUUUAACUAAUGAAAGUUGUAACUUUGUCGAGCAGUUACUUUGUGGAUACACAUGGGCCUGAUGCCGUUUAUCCUAUGUUUUCACAGUGGUUUAGGGAAUAUGUUCAUAAUCCAGUUAAUUAUGAUGUACAUGGCCAAUUUUUGCGUGAUAUAGCUUGGGGACCUGAUGCAAAAGUCAGAAAGUUGUCUAAGUAUUUUCUCAAUGGGUACAGGUUUCAUACGGAAGAGUGGUCUAAGGGCAAGAAAACCAAUAACAGUGGGGUGUGGGUGAAAGGUGAUGGUGAUGUUGAUUAUUAUGGUGUGCUUCAAGAGAUUUUAGAACUCGAGUAUCCUAUUGGUUGGCCAAAGAAGAAGUUGGUACUCUUUCGGUGUAAAUGGUAUGAUCCAACACCUAGGUCAGCUACAAAGGUGCAUCGUCAUUACAAAAUAGUUGAAAUUAAGCACACGAGGGAGUAUGGACUCUAUGAUCCAUUUGUCAUUGCACAAAAUAUGAAACAAGUGUAUUACGCGCCUUAUCCUUUGUGCAAGAAUCAGUCUGCAUGGCGGGUAGUUAUAAAAACAAAGCCCGUGGGUAGAGUGGAAGUAGAGGAUGCAUUAGAUGUAGCGUACCAGAAUGAUAUUUCAAGUGUUGAAGAAAGGGUGGAUGAUGAAUUAGCAGGUGAAUUACAGCAUAGCGAAGGCCUCUAUGAAGAAUUUGAUCCUUCGGAACUUAGAUUAAAUCUUAACGAUUAUGGGGAAGGAACGUCCAGGGCAAACGAGGAGAAAGACUCAGCCGAUGAAUAUGGAACAAGCAAGGAAGAAUUACUUGAUGAAAAUGAAACAAGUGAUGAGGAAGAAUUGAUGAAUGAAUAUGAAUCAAACGAAGAGGACUGAGUUGUUAAUAAUAAUAGUUCAUUCCCUCAUAUGCCGGGAAUAUGGUUACAGCAUCAUUUAAACCAUUUUUCGUGAUGCUUGGGUACAUACAGGGCCAUUCCGUACGAUGUCAGAAUGCUAAUGUGGGAUCAGUUUAAGACAAAGUGUACAUGGCAGCCUCGUUAUGAAAAUGAAAUCUAUACCAUUUUCGAGAAGAAGUUAACUUUGCGGAUUAAAGAACACCUGUAUAAUGCCAGAGAUCUCAAUAAGAAGCCUGAAUGGUUGCGGGCUGAUGUGUGGGCUAAAUAUUUGGUGUAUUGGAACACUCCUCAAUUUAAGAAGAAGAGUGAAAAAGCAAAGAAUGCCCGAGCCUCUCAAAAGGGUGGCUCGUUGCACACCGGAGGUUCCAUGAGUUUCGCACCAACGAAGACUGGUAAUUUAGCCAAUAAAUUUUCCUCCUUUUAAAUUGUCUAAAUACGAUUAAAGUUUUAUCCAACUAUUAUUUUUUUUGCAGCGAAAGUUAAAUGGGGGAGAGACAGUGCCUCUUUUUGAGGUCUUCGAGGAGACACAUAAGAAGAAGAAGGGGGGCGGUACAAGAGAAGGAUGGGUCGAGCCACGUGCUAAGGAGACAUAUGAAGGCUUUCAAAAAGGUUUGGAAGAUUGGCGUCAGACCCAGCCUGCUUCAGAGGAUGGUACCUCAGUCCGACCAUCGCUCACGGAUAUGACUUCAAUAUGGACACAUGUGGCAGGUGGUCCAAGCAAAGGUAGAGUCUACGGGCUUGGAGUUUUGCGUUCCUCGUCUAGGCCUUCGCCGUUCUUGUCCAAUGCUCCUACUUCGCAAAAUAUGGAAGAGAUGGAAGCGAUGCACAGGGAAAUUGCAGAGCUGAAGAAAAAGUGUGAAACUUCUGAUGCUAAUUAAGCUU
Lycium ferocissimum is the source of this 2227-nucleotide RNA transcript. RefSeq lists it as uncharacterized. The transcript is spliced from 5 exons. NCBI's taxonomy places the organism in Eukaryota, Viridiplantae, Streptophyta, Magnoliopsida, Solanales, Solanaceae. The record is from RefSeq and is a predicted model, not a curated record.